CCAACAGGGAUUGCCCCAGUAACGGCGAGUGAAGCGGCAACAGCUCAAAUUUGAAAUCUGGCCCCCAGGGCCCGAGUUGUAAUUUGCAGAGGAUGCUUUUGGCGACGCGCCUUCCGAGUUCCCUGGAACGGGACGCCAUAGAGGGUGAGAGCCCCGUCUGGUUGGACGCCGAGCCUCUGUAAAGCUCCUUCGACGAGUCGAGUAGUUUGGGAAUGCUGCUCUAAAUGGGAGGUAUAUGUCUUCUAAAGCUAAAUACCGGCCAGAGACCGAUAGCGCACAAGUAGAGUGAUCGAAAGAUGAAAAGCACUUUGAAAAGAGGGUUAAAUAGUACGUGAAAUUGUUGAAAGGGAAGCGCUCACGACCAGACUUGAGCCCGGUGAAUCAUCCAGCGUUCUCGCUGGUGCACUUCGCCGGGCCCAGGCCAGCAUCGGUUCGCCGCGGGGGAGAAAGGCGUCGGGAACGUGGCUCCCUCGGGAGUGUUAUAGCCCGUCGCACAAUACCCUGGGGCGGACCGAGGUUCGCGCAUCUGCAAGGAUGCUGGCGUAAUGGUCGUCAGCGACCCGUCUUGAAACACGGACCAAGGAGUCGUCUUCGUAUGCGAGUGUUCGGGUGUAAAACCCCUACGCGUAAUGAAAGUGAACGCAGGUGAGAGCUUCGGCGCAUCAUCGACCGAUCCUGAUGUUCUCGGAUGGAUUUGAGUAAGAGCAUACGGGGCCGGACCCGAAAGAAGGUGAACUAUGCCUGUGUAGGGUGAAGCCAGAGGAAACUCUGGUGGAGGCUCGCAGCGGUUCUGACGUGCAAAUCGAUCGUCAAACAUGGGCAUGGGGGCGAAAGACUAAUCG
Molecule: ribosomal RNA, 842 nt
Filed under: Chlorocillium griseum
Lineage: Eukaryota; Fungi; Ascomycota; Sordariomycetes; Hypocreales; Chlorocilliaceae
Description: partial large subunit ribosomal RNA
Rfam family: Eukaryotic large subunit ribosomal RNA
Source: RNAcentral